Molecule: ribosomal RNA, 422 nt
Filed under: uncultured bacterium
Lineage: Bacteria
Description: bacterial SSU rRNA
Rfam family: Bacterial small subunit ribosomal RNA
Source: RNAcentral
UGAGGAAUAUUGGUCAAUGGGGGCAACCCUGAACCAGCCAAGUCGCGUGAAGGAUGAAGGUCCUAUGGAUUGUAAACUUCUUUUAUACAGGAAUAAAUUGGGGGACGUGUCCCCUUUUGCAUGUACUGUAUGAAUAAGGAUCGGCUAACUCCGUGCCAGCAGCCGCGGUAAUACGGAGGAUCCGAGCGUUAUCCGGAUUUAUUGGGUUUAAAGGGUGCGCAGGCGGGAUGUUAAGUCGGCGGUGAAAUUUUGCAGCUCAACUGUAAAAGUGCCUUCGAUACUGGCUUCCUUGAGUGUAGAUGAAGUAGGCGGAAUUUGUGGUGUAGCGGUGAAAUGCUUAGAUAUCACGAGGAACUCCGAUUGCGCAGGCAGCUUACUAAACUACAACUGACGCUCAUGCACGAAGGCGUGGGGAUCAAACA